ACGAACUGUGCGAACGUUAUUCGGAAUCACUGGGCUUAAAGGGUGCGUAGGCGGCGAUAUAGGUCAGGUGUGAAAUCCCACGGCUCAACCGUGGAACUGCGCUUGAAACCAUAUUGCUUGAGGGAGUCAGAGGUAAGCGGAACUGAUGGUGGAGCGGUGAAAUGCGUUGAUAUUAUCAGGAACACCGGUGGCGAAAGCGGCUUACUGGGACUUUUCUGACGCUGAGGCACGAAAGCCAGGGGAGCGAACGGG
Molecule: ribosomal RNA, 252 nt
Filed under: uncultured bacterium
Lineage: Bacteria
Description: partial 16S ribosomal RNA
Rfam family: Bacterial small subunit ribosomal RNA
Source: RNAcentral